Molecule: ribosomal RNA, 456 nt
Filed under: uncultured bacterium
Lineage: Bacteria
Description: bacterial SSU rRNA
Rfam family: Bacterial small subunit ribosomal RNA
Source: RNAcentral
UAGUCCACGCCGUAAACGAUGGAUACUAGGUGUUUGGAGUGUUAACCCUCUGGGCGCCAAAGCUAACGCAUUAAGUAUCCCACCUGGGGAGUACGGUCGCAAGGCUAGAACUCAAAGGAAUUGACGGGGGCCCGCACAAGCGGUGGAGUAUGUGGUUUAAUUCGAAGCAACGCGCAGAACCUUACCUGGACUUAACAUCCCAUGACAAUGCCAGAGAUGGUACUUUCUCUUCGGAGACAUGGUGAUAGGUGCUGCAUGGCUGUCGUCAGCUCGUGUCGUAAGAUGUUGGGUUAAGUCCCGCAACGAGCGCAACCCUUAUCCUUAGUUGCCAUUAUUAAGUUAGGAACUCUAAGGAGACUGCCGGUGUUAAACCGGAGGAAGGCGGGGAUGACGUCAAGUCCUCAUGGCCCUUAUGUCCAGGGCUACACACGUACUACAAUGGCACACACCGCCCGU